Podarcis lilfordi (Lilford's wall lizard) is the source of this 80-nucleotide non-coding RNA. The record is from the annotation of a GenBank genome assembly. NCBI's taxonomy places the organism in Eukaryota, Metazoa, Chordata, Lepidosauria, Squamata, Lacertidae.
GGGGAAGUGUUCUGGCUCAGUGGCAGAGCAUCUGCUUUGCAUGGAGCAGGUCCCAGGUUCAAUCCCCAGUGGCAUCCCCA